CCUGGCGGCGAUAGCGCGGUGGUCCCACCUGACCCCAUGCCGAACUCAGAAGUGAAACGCCGUAGCGCCGAUGGUAGUGUGGGGUUUCCCAUGUGAGAGUAGGGAACUGCCAGGC
This 115-nucleotide ribosomal RNA is filed under the name Pectobacterium versatile. Lineage: Bacteria; Pseudomonadati; Pseudomonadota; Gammaproteobacteria; Enterobacterales; Pectobacteriaceae. The record is from RNAcentral.